RNAcentral lists this long non-coding RNA (501 nucleotides) under Mytilus galloprovincialis (Mediterranean mussel). The record is from RNAcentral. Lineage: Eukaryota; Metazoa; Mollusca; Bivalvia; Mytilida; Mytilidae.
GUCUGUUUGUUUGUCCGUUUGUCCAGCUUCAAGUUAAAUCAACUUGAAACUUAGUACACAUUUUCCCUAUGGUAUGAUCUUUUUAAUUCUAAUGCCAAAUAACAGUUUCAUCCCAUUUUCACAGUCCACUAAACAUAGAAAAUGAUAGUGUAGAUGAGGAAUCCGUGUACCAGGGACACAUUCAUGUUUCUUCAAAUUUUCGUCGUAUCGCUGUCAAUUUGUGUUAAAAUUUUAACGUCGUUAUCAAUAAAUAUUUCAUUGUUUACGAGAAAUAUGCAAUUUACUAUCAUUGUCAUAAAUCCCAACUACUGUCAAUUAUAUUAUAGUUUAAAAAAAGAAAUUUAUGAAACAUAUUUAUAUCCGCCAACCGAGCCCCUAUUGAGAUCGACAAACUCAACAAAAAGCUUUCAAUACAAUUACGGAUAUUUCUUAGAAUUGACGGUCAUCCUAUAAAAGUUACGGUCGUCCUAUAUAAAUUACAGUCAGUCUUUACAAAUUACG